GUAGGUGGCAAGCGUUGUCCGGAAUUAUUGGGCGUAAAGCGCGCGCAGGCGAUCCUUUAAGUCUGAUGUGAAAGCCCACGGCUCAACCGUGGAGGGUCAUUGGAAACUGGGGGACUUGAGUACAGAAGAGGAAAGCGGAAUUCCAAGUGUAGCGGUGAAAUGCGUAGAGAUUUGGAGGAACACCAGUGGCGAAGGCGGCUUUCUGGUCUGUAACUGACGCUGAGGCGCGAAAGCGUGGGGAGCAAACAGGGAUUAGAUACCCUGGUAGUCCACGCCGUAAACGAUGAGUGCUAAGUGUUAGGGGGUUUCCCGCCCCUUAGUGCUGCAGCUAACGCAUUAAGCACUCCGCCUGGGGAGUACGGCCGCAAGGCUG
RNAcentral lists this ribosomal RNA (373 nucleotides) under uncultured organism. Its description in RNAcentral is "partial 16S ribosomal RNA". It matches the Rfam family "Bacterial small subunit ribosomal RNA", at positions 527 to 896 of the family's 1533-position model. The record is from RNAcentral.